Taeniopygia guttata (zebra finch) is the source of this 1874-nucleotide non-coding RNA. The record is from RefSeq and is a predicted model, not a curated record. NCBI's taxonomy places the organism in Eukaryota, Metazoa, Chordata, Aves, Passeriformes, Estrildidae.
UAAACUCACAGGGGAGGAGACAAGCUCCUGGUACCUACGGUAAGAUCAGACUCUGAACAAAUAAUUCUGCUCUUCCCUGUUUUCAGCGUUUCUGUUCCCUCCCUCAUUCUACUCCUGAGAGCACCAGGGACAGGGAAGAAGGAAAUCCUGCAGCCAGGCUGGUUUCGUUGUUUUAAGCAACAGUGAUGUUUUUUCUGCUUUUCUGAAGUGUGUUUGUCCUGCCUCUAGCCGUUCAAAGUCCUGAUAUUGUUAUUGCUAUGAAAGGUAAGAGAAAAAGGCUGUGCACUGGCUGUUGGAUCAAUCAAGUAAUGGGAAGAAAAGCAGAGCUUUGCCUUAGCAGCCCCCACCUUGUGUGUGGUACAAAGUGAUACAGAAGCCAAAACUCAGGUGAGAGAAGCACCUGUGAUAUGAUGGAGGUCAGGAACAGAAGAAUGGGAAUGUUUGGGUCCCAUAACUAUUUCUAAGCAUGUCCCUCGGGGUGCUGGUUGUAGAGGGGGGACAGGAGGGCAAUGAUUUGCUGGGUGGAGCAUGGGAGAACAGUUCCAAGGGCCUCAGCCUGCUGCUGACAUGCUGCUGUCAUCCCUACUGCCCUUCCUUUGCCCGCGUUCCUUGCGUGACUCAGAGGGCACCGCACAGCAGCCCUGAGCAUGAGGUGGCACCUAUAGAAAGUCCUGACACAGCCAAAAGGCACGAAGGGAGGGAGUGCUGGCACAGGAGGGGACAGCAGGCAGAGGUGAAGGGUUCAAUGGCACCUCCUCCUCAUUCCCAUCCCUGCCUGGAGGGACUUUGUGUCCUCCUGCCCUCGGGAAGUUUCUCUCUGCUUCUGCCCCUGAUCCUGUUUCAGGACUGCCAAAGCUCUGGCUCACAGGUUGUUGGCAGCUUGAGGUGCCAGGCAUGAGCAGUUUUACCUUCCCCUUCUGACACAGAGAUGCCUUUUGGGGAGGGUUUUGACAUGAUCAAACACUCGCCUUUCCUGAAAGUGCUCUUAGCUGUGUGCUGCUGUGAUGAUCUCCAGUUCUCUCUGUAGGCAUUUGACACAGCUCCAGAGCACUCAAAAUCAACACCUCCAUGGCCCUUUGGGCAAGUGGUUUGAAUGAGUUAUAUCACAGGACCAUUGGCUCUGGAAGAGAAGACACUGCCAGCUAUGAGCACAGUAAUGAGGUAAUCUUCUAAUGCUAAACCAAAGGGUAGAAAUAAAAUCAGCUUUCAAAAUCUCAGCAUUUACAAGUUAUGAUGCAUGUGACCUAUUUAGAUGUCUAUUUUAGAAUGAAAAAACAUGCCCUAGAAGUGUCUAAUUUUUUCCACUGAGUCUAGGGUAAUGAGAUAAACAUGUAAUGGUCAGUCAAAUCCUGCAGUAAUUUUUAAGUAGAGGAAAUUUAUGGCUUUAGAGCCUGAUUCCUGUGCCUGUGCCAUCCCUCACUCCAGAAGUUGUGCAUGCCUUGCGCUUCUGAAAGUCAAACUCUAGAUGAAGCAAUUUCAGUAGAGCCUCAACGUGCUAACAUCUAAAUCCUUCCCUCCCAAUUACUGCCUGGGUUUAGUGGUGUGUUCUAAUUAGUUUGCAGAUGAAGAUUAUUGUGCUGAGGCUCAGCAAAGCAGAAGGGAGCAAUACAAAGGGAGCAAAGGUGCCCUGCAGCCAUUUCCAUUGUAACCCAGAUACAAACAGCUGCAGGGAUGGGCCAGAUCCCACCUGGCUCAGGGUGUUCUGGGCAGUGCUGCCACUGGAAGGUGCCUUCACCAUUUGCUUCCACCUCACCUCCUGACCCAGGACCUGAUAUGGGGUGCUCAGAGGCUACAGAAGUUGAGAAGUAAAUACCACAAAUCUGGUGUUCCAGCCGUGCUUUUAGGUAUCCAUGGAAAGAAUAAGCCAGCCCACC